CUACACAAAUUAAACGAGAAGGAAACAUGAAAAAGUAAGGCCAGUGUUUUGUGCAUGUUUAUAAUAACAAGUCAGAGAGAAGAAGAACCAUAUCAAUAUAACUUUUUCUGUGGAAUAUCUGAAAAGCCAUUCUUAAUUGAUUAACAGUGAUAAAUCAGAUACAAAGAAGGGUUAAUUUCAACGCUCUCGCACACACAUCUAUAACUGGUUAUGAGGUUGAUGAAAAUGGAGUGGCAUUAUUUGCAUCUGGUUAUGAGGUUGAUGAAAAUGGAGUGGCAUUAUUUGCAUACUUCUUCAAGUUGGGUCGGAGUUUGUUAACCCAACGGAGACGGCACGACUUGCCAGUACGUUGCAAGAGACCUUUGGAUCGAAUGGAGCUCCAGUCUCUAGGGCCAUAUUUGUUGACAUGGUUUAUCAAAACCUCAUCUUCUUCUGCCUUCCAUGGCCCUUUCUUUAUCGCACCCAUAUCAUCACAUAACAUUCUUUUCCUCCCAUCCAUUCUCUAUCAACAUCAAUUCGCUCUUCACCACACACAUACACAUAAAAAUAAAAUAUGCAUGCAAAAAUCUUGUCUUUUUGAGAAUUUUCCAGUAGAUUUUUUGUCUCUGGAGUUCUGUCUUUCUUUUGUCAAUUUUAAAUGAGCAAGAGACCUUUGGAUCGAAUGGAGCUCCAGUCUCUAGGGCCAUAUUUGUUGACAUGGUUUAUCAAAACCUCAUCUUCUUCUGCCUUCCAUGGCCCUUUCUUUAUCGUACCCAUAUCAUCACAUAACAUUCUCUUCCUCCCAUCCAUUCUCUAUCAACAUCAAUUCGCUCUUCACCACACACGUAUACACAUAUAUAUAAAAUAUGCAUGCAAAAAUCUUGUUUUUUUGAGAAUUUUUCGGUAGAUUUUUUGUCGCUGGAGUUCUGUCUUUCAUUUGUCAAUUUUAAAUGUUAUUGGCGUGGGGGGUGGUGUAGUGACGGUUAGGAGCGGUUAUUGGCAUUAUCUGUCCACUUUUUAAUCCACGUUCUAUUAUUCUUUUGAAUUCAAAUUCAGUCCCCGGAAUUUCAAAAUUAUGCUGGCAGCCCUGAAAAUGAAAGAAAAUAUUUAAAAGACUGAAUUGUAGUUAAUACGUUAAAAAAAUGUUCAAUUUUGUGUUUAAAGUAAAUAAUUUUAAUAUUUAACUGUUUUUUUUUUUUUUUUACAGUACUAAUUUAUUGAUUAUAUUUUAUUGGUUUAAUGACUAUUUUGAUAUUUGUAGGAUUGGAUUAUAUAUAUUAUUUGCUAAAUUGUUAGAAUAAUUAUUAAGUCUCUGAAUAAAAUAGGUUUCAUUUAUUUGGCAAUUUAAUAAGUGCUUUUAAGAUUAUAUUGUAUUCAGUUAUAUAAAUAGAAUAAGUGUACUAAGUUAAUUUUUGUUCUAAAUUAUUCAUGUUUGACAAACAUUAAAAAAAAAAAUUUCUUUAUCAAACUCAUUUUUAACCACACAUUCUCAUAAUAAAAUAGUUUAUACGUAAGCUCAAAACUUUCUUUAAAAUAAAAUUAAAAAAAAAACUAUUUCAAAACUUAUUUUCCCUACUAAUAAAAAAAAAUAAAAAAAAAGGGCACUCACUAUUAUCAUUGUCAAUCAGGGCUAAGUUCUUUAAUAAUUUUUUAGUAAUCCAUUAUUUAAUAUAAUUUUUUCUAUUUGAAUGAAUUUUAACAUAAAUUCUUUGACAUUUAAUAUUUGCUCAUCUGUAUACUUUCUUAUUAUUUAACUGAUUUUUUUAAUUUUUUUUUUUUAAAUGUUGUUAAAUUAGCAAGGUUAUUUGAACGAUUUUAUCAAUCAAACUGGAGAAGACAAUCACUCAUUUACUAUGAAAAUAAGCAAUAUUUCCUUUAUAAAUAUAAAAUACUUAACCCUUGUUUGGUAUUGUUUAAAAUCUUUAUUUUAAUUUAAUUCAAAGUCAACAAUUAAUUUUAAUCACUCAUUUUAUGGGAUCCAUAAUUUUUCAACUACACAUUUCAUCAAAAUCUACUAAAAAUCUAAUUUUAAUCACCACCAAACAGGGGUUUAUAAGUACAUUCAAGCAUGAACAUUUUUUUCCUUAAAAAAAAAAAAAGAAAGAAAGAAAAAGAUGAUUUUUUUUUUUUUCAAAUUUACUUAUAAUUAAAUUUAACUUACGUAUAAACGGAGUCAAACAUACUUUGAGACACAAAAUGUUUGGACCGUAGCCCCAUAGAAAAUAAAAUUUUUUUAGUUAAAAAAAUACUUAUAAAUCACAUUUUGACAAAAAUUACUUAUAAAAUAUGUUAAAUGUAUUAUUUAUCAAGAUGCUUAUUUUAUUUACUUUUUAUGUAAAUUCACCUACAGGUAAACUAAUUUUCUUAUUUGUGAAAGUUGAAAAUAAAUAAAAUAUUUAUUUUGAGGUAAGGCAAAGAUUAUUUUCAAAAAAAAUGUAACCUUUCCGAUUUCCCGAAAAUAAAAAAUAACAUUAUAUUGGACAAUGCUUCCACUCAAUCACAUAAUCUACACCAUCUUUUCCACUUGCUCACAUGACAAUACACAAUUGAACAAUUUCACGCAAUCAAUUGUAUAUACAAAAAAGAGUACAAAUGACAUUGUCCAACGAAUUAAACAAUUACACUUGUAUGUAGAAUGGUUUCGGCUCUUGCUGCCUAAAGGGGCUAGUGAUCGAUAUAUUAUUGAUCUCUUCAGUUAGGGAUUUGGAUUUGGGAGAAGCGUGCGAAGCGAGAACUGGAAAAAUUGUGAGAUGAAUAAGUUGAAAAUUCGGUGAAACUUAUAAUCAGUUGUAUAUACACUAGCCCAAACCUAUAUCUAGAAGGAAAAGGAAAUAUAUUGUCCUAUUAUUACAUUAAUUUCUAACGAGACUAGAAUAUAAGAUAUAUGCAUUAAUUCCUUAACUAUUGUUCUAUUUUAAAUGGUUUGCUUGUUGUCCACUUGAUCAACCCUACUGGGGUAAAAUUACAAGCUUGCAGCUCGGAAAUUCCAGCUCUCAUUUGCCUUCCAAUCAGCCAUUAAGGCAAAAUUCGAGUCCAUGAAUGGUGUCAACUCCUCAAGUGGCUCGAGUCCAUAAAUUAUGUUACUUCUGAAGAACUGGAUUGAUACUAGCACAAGCACAAAAGUAGCGUGGUGAAAAAGGUCGAUCAUUUUCUUAUAAAGCCCAUGUUCGGUUCUCGUUUUCUAAAACUCAUUUUAAUCACGCAUUUCAAGGAAUUUACAACUUUUUAUCAGCUUUUCAACUUCAUAUUUCAUCAACUUUUAUCAAAAUCUACUUUUUAGCUAAACCAAGAAAAAAAUGAGACUGUAAAUCCGGAGAAUAUCAGGAGUGAUACGAGCAAAGGCUAUAAUUUCAAGUCUAUUAAUGAACAACAAAUACAAUCGAUGAGGAUGCACUGCCCACAGGUCGGAACUUGGACCCACUCAAAAUACAUGCGUAUAUGUGCUCCUAUGUGAAUAUACACAUACAAAUAUAUUCACAUACAAAAUGACACGAAUGCAAAAUUGGCAUCAGGUGAGUCUUCCAUACCCUUCGUAUUUUGCGUACAGUUCAUUUUCAUGCAUUUAGGAUCGUUGUCGUUGGAGAUUGCACUUAGUGCAAGGUUUCCACUAUCGAUCUGGCCCAGAUGCUAAAACCACGUUUUCAGCAAUCAUCCGCUUUGCACUUGGUUACGAAGCUCCUAUUUGACAACCAUCAUUUGAAAACUCAUUUUCAACUAAAUAUUCACACAAUAAGAUAUUUUGCACAUAAACUUAAAAUUUUUCUCAGCUUUUUAAUUACACAUUCUCCUAAAAAUCACUAUUCAAAACAUUAUUUUUAUUUUUUGCAAAUAAUGGUUGUCUAACAGGGACUUGACAUUUACCAUGGAUACAAUAACUAGUGCACUAGAAGUGCGUUUUUCCCAAUCCUCUCGUGCGAGGAAAAAAGGUCCUUAUUUCAGUUUAUCCCUUUAAUACAACACAAUACCAUCCAAUCCUCCUACAUAGCGUACCAAAAAUGUCAUCCCCAUUUUUUUUUUUUUUUUUUUAUUUAUCGAAACCUUUCGCUUUAGACGCGCCUUGAACAUUCUUCAAUGUAAAAUCAUAAACCUGCACAAAUCUCUCUAGACCACACAUUUUGCUUCACAAGCUUAUUAAUUUCUAACAAGAUUUCUAUAGAUUUAAUUUAAAUUUUACGUGUUAACUAAUGGAAAAGAUAAAAUAUUCUUCAAAAUAUAUUUUAAAACUCAAUCAAGGCAAUUUUACCUCUGAUAGAAACAAUUAUACCCUAUUCAUGUAGAAAUACUGAGAUCAACUGGUCUCUUUUCAUUUUAAAAAACAUCCAAAUUAGGCAACUCAAUCAAUGAAAAUAUGCUAAAAUGCAUUAAAAAAGUGUCAUGGCUUGCUCAAAAGAAUGUAAAUAGAAAAGGAAAAUAUUCACCAAAUAAAUAAUAAUAAACCACCAAAAGUCACCACAAUGUAGGCAGUGAAAAUAAUAGCCAUAAAAAUCACUCGAGAGUUCAAUUUUAGUUCUCAAUUCCAAAACAAUAAAAUUCGUUUAGAAUCAAAACUCACAAUGGCUAACAGCACAUUUAUUGUUCUAUAUAAUUGAACCCUAGGCAACACCAUCUAUUUUGCUCGGCCUUCAAGUAAAAGAUUACACUUUCAGGGUGGAAGAGAGUAAUUAAUAAACAUAGACACCUUUUCUAUCAAAACUUCGAUGAACUUUUGGACUGUAACCUACCCAAGGAACCUUAAGAAAGUUACUUUUAAACCCCAGGUACAAGGCAAAAACAUGAAACAAACUCAUCGAAUAAGAAGAUAUCCUUCUCUUCCACGUUUAGCCUGGGGAGAGAAGAAUCUGAAAUUUUAAAUAGCACAUCCCUAUACAGCAAAUUGAAUUCUCCGGGCCAUGCUUCUCCUUAGUUCCCGAUAAAAUGGUAUUUCACAAAGUCAAUCCAUUGAAAGGACAGGAGGUAUGAAAAGCUUUGAGCUGUAAUGAGAAUACAUAUGUUGGUAAAUACUAUCAAAAAAGGCUCCUAUGUGAAACGUGGGCUCCCUACAACCAACUCAAAAUGACAACAAUACAAGUGCUGAUGAUGUUUUGAAGAGGCUAUUCAUUGGAGAUGUACUUGCUCAGCAGAAACACGAAAUACUGAAGGAAUAUUAUACUUGAUACUUCAAUAGCUUGUCCUUCACGGGUGGCUCCAAGGUAGACAUACAUUGUUCCCAUGCUCCGUUUUUUAGCAUCUGGCAAGAAUGUCAUUGAUUUAAAAAUGUAUUAAUUAUGUAUCUCCUCAAAUAGCGAACAGAAUACUUGGGGGCAUAUAGGUGAUUUGAACGUCCACACUCCCCAUAUGAGUGGAAUUUGAUUGCGGUUAGCAUCUUGGGAACCACUUGAUCAUCAAAUAUAUGCUCCCCCACAAAGAAUAACUAGCUUCAAAUAUUGGUUCCUUAUUCACACUUUCUCCGUCCUUUCCUGCAAUUUUGGUGCUAGUAAGGUUGAGUGCUUUUUUUUUUUUUUUUUUUUUUUUCAUUUUCCUUUUCCAUGGUGGCAGGGUAUAGCAGGUGAAGAAGAUGUUCAAAUACAGUGCUCAACUAGAAUAUCUUUUGCAAAGUAAUUUGGUUCAUAGCUAUCAUUAUUGUGGCCAGGUACGAGCUAGAGAUACUAAAACUAAGCCAUAAAAGAAGUAACUGUCUGUCUCCAAACAUGGUUGGAAGACCUACUUGCUUCUUACUCUUUAAGCUAUACAAAUUACCUUUAUUUCAAUGUAAUAAGUAAACUUCAACUUUAACCAAUAAAGAACAUUUAUUUUAAAGCUAACUAUUCCUUUAUAAGUAAACGUUCUGAGUCGUAGAGAACUGAAUAUAUCAAGGAGGAGCUGCUUACUUGUUUAUAGCCAUGCAAAACCUGGCAAAUUUCUUUGUGCAGAUCUUCACUCCUUAUUUCCUGUUAAGAAGAAUAAGAUAAUUAUUCAAUCAACUUAAUACAUAUUUCUUAAGAAGGCUUUAAUGAAAAGGGUGACAGCACGUCACUUACAUGCCAACUAGCAAUAGCUUUGCACAUGAAAACGAGAGAACUUAAAGCUCCAGAUGGGUUUGCUCUAACCUAAAAGACAUUGAUAACAUGAAAUGAAUGCCAAUAUAUGGUCGAAAUCCUGUCAUACAAGAAAACAAGUGCAUACCAUUGCACAUAAACCUCUGAAAGCAUCUUCCUUCUCGACAUCGUCCCGUAUCCUGUCACAAGUUUAUAAUAAGCAGAUAGAUUACAAAAUAAAAAAUUUGGUUACCUGGAAAAGGUUAAUUCUAAUAUCAAGUAUAUAACGUGACAAACUUUUGACGAAAUGAUUUUCCCAUACGUACUCCUUACCUAUGAUGCUCGGACUCAAGUAUGGAUAAGUAUCUAAGUGUUGGAUCCUUUAUUUUCUAAAAUAAAGGAUACAAGGAUAUGGUUAAAAAGAAUAUAAAUUUUAAAUCGGGUACUUGAGUACGUUUUUCAAGUUUCAAUUUUUUUACUAACCCAAGAUCUCAUUUUGAAUAGACCAAAAUCAAUUGUUCACAAAGAAGGAAAUAGUAUUGAAUAAGAGAUUAAGAUGAAUAAAAUAAAAUUUUGGGGUUUAGUUUUCAAUUAUGAGAAGUUAAUUACUAAAUGUUAUAUAAAAUAGAAAAUGAGGGACUUGAUUGCAAUUUGGAUUUAAUGGAGCAUUAAGUAGUAUUAUAUGGAACUCAAUUUCAAUUUAUACAAGCAAAACCUUAAGCCACCGAUACAAAGAGAGAAGGGAAAAAAAAAAAGAAGAAAAGAGAAGGGUAGGGAAAGGAAAAAGAAAGAAGAAGGGAAAAUCUAGUGUCGUCGCCUUUCUCCAACCUCUCAGAGGUGGCGCAAGGUUUAUAAAGAGUAGAAAAGGAAAAGAAAAAAGAAAGAAAAAGCAAAAAAGGGCGAAGUGUCUGGUUGAAAUUCGGCGGAUCCGACACAUAUCCUAACCCAUACCCAUGUCAUGUCGUAUCCGACACAGGUACUCCAACCAUUUUGAAGAGUCCGAGCAUUAGAGAUCAAAAUGCAUGGAAAGAUUACCCAUGUUGUACUAAGUAAUAGAAUGUCCUAAAAGCACAUCGAGGACUCCUAGGAUCUAACUUUUCCCGAUUAUGGCUAUGUACAUGAAUAAAGCUACACAAUCGAAAUUAAAAAUUUGGAUGAGAGAUUUGUAAAAAUGUUAGGAUAGGUAUUUAGCAGUAAGAACAGCUUUUUCCCAUAAAGUAUGUGUAGAAAAAGAACUUAAGUAUGUAUGGGAUAGAUUUCUUGAACCAAUAGAUUCACUAAAAUCAGUCUCCUUUCCAUGUUGAUAAUGUUCCUGGUAUGCAGGUUUUGAAAUUUACAAUAAGUAGAAAAAAAACAUAGCGACACAAUUAAGACUUUUAGUGAUUUUGCUAAUUGACAGAAGGUUGCAAGACAAUUUUGGAACAUGUAGUGUGUAGUAUGGCAAAAGAGAUUUUAAAAUAGGAAUACACCAUUUUCCCGCAAUAGAUGAGAGUGAACCACGUGAUCUGUUGGAACUAAGGAACAGACAAAUUUGAGUGGCUAGUCAUGUGAUCUGUGGUUCCUGAAUCAAUGACCCGAGAAUUACAUGUAAAGCUAGUGGCGUUUAAUCAAGUCAAGUGAGCAAGUGCACAAAUGGAUGAGAUAUUGCCAAUUUGAAACUAAUAAAAGAGGAAGCACAAUUGGGUUAAAAGGUGAUUUAUAAAUAAUUUGACAGCCAAGAAUUCAAUUGUAUUGGAACUAUCUGAAAUAGGAUUGAAAGAUGCAAGAAAUGGUCUAAAUUGGUGUAGAAUGGCCAGAAAAAAGAAGAAACGAGCAUUGAACAAGUAUAAAUCUACCCAAAAAAUGAUUGAACUUGAUUAACAAACAUCUGAACAAGCCUCGAAGACAUUUUAAGUGGGCUGAAAAUAGGGUGAAACGGACUUAAAAUUGCUUAACCAGCCUGAUAAGAGACUGAACUGCUUUGAGAUGUGCUGAACUGCUUUGAAAGUAGGCUAUUCCCCCACCUCAAAAUCAGCUGAAUUGCUCUGGAAUUUCAUGUUUAUAUAGUUUCUAAACCAUUUUUCUCCAAUUAAAAACACAAAGAAUAGGAUUUCGGCAUAAAUCAGCUGCCAAGAAGAUAAAAAUUCCAAAAAUUUGAGCUGGAAUGCAAAUUAGCAUGUGGCCUGCUCUAAUACCUUAUUAAAGCUUGAGGUUCUAUCUUAUAAAGUCAACCUUGUUAAAAGAGUAGCCUAAGCCCCCAUAUAUUGUACAUAUUAUAUCAUUAUUCCACGUGAGAUUAUUUAACGUAUUCCUACAAGAUGGUGGCUCAUUUGAGGAUGUCAGUAUUGAAAUUCAUGCGCUCGUUUAAGUCUUAGUUAGGAUGAAUUGCUUGUUGGAGCUAAAUGAGCUUCAGUACUAUAUGGUAAAAAAAAAAAAAAAGGAGAAAUAAUUUCUUGCUUCUUUGGUUUGUCAAUUUUUACAAGGUUCAAACACAUUGCUAUACAAUUAUAAAAGGAAAGAAAUAAAUGGUCUAAUCUAUAGCUAUACAAUCCCCAUAAAUCUAUCUAUUCUAUUGCUAAACCCUCCCCAUGGAUACUUCAUAAUCUAUUCCAUAUUUAAUGCACAAUCAUUGACCAAACCAGAUUCUGCGAAUGUGGACAGAUUUUAUGAGUGGAAAUACAGCUAAUUACAGCUAUUUUUCCAUAGUCUCAGUAUAAAUUGUUUUCAUGUUUUCUUCUCACAGAGGAUGCACAUUGUUAUAAUACAUCUUCAAGUUAUGCUAAAGGGUACAUUCUUGUUUGUUUGUGUUGGUCUGUUGGAAUAAGGCAGGUUGUGUGAAAAAUGGCCAUAUCAUUGUUCUUAAUCGUCGUUUUUGCUUUUCCAGGAGAAGGAGUUGGAUCUGUAGUCUCUAGAUUCGUGCAGGAGGCCGAUAUGGUAUAUGAUGUUGCUUAUUGUGGAUAUUCACACUCAAAAAGACCAAUAUUUUUCAGUGAAAAUCAGUCUUUUACUGCUGGAGACUUUGUGGGUUCACACCAAGGCCAAGUUGGCAUAAAUUUUACCCAUCGCAAUACAGAAUCUAAUGAUCAUUUAGACAAACUAAAUUGAUGUACCCCUCAAUCAUUAUUUUUGGUAUUAGACUGCAGGUGUUGUUCUCGAUUUGCUGCCAUUGCAAAAGCUUUUGUUGGUUUUCUGAUGAAAAUAAAUGCUGAUUUGGUGGUUUAUCAUUGUCAUUGACAAAGUACUAGAAUGCUCUGUGACUGUUAUGAAAGUAAGUUCAGACUUCCAGAUUUUUUUUCUAGAAAAUAAUGGAAAAUGAUGUUUCAACUUUUUGUGCUGUGGGAUAUAAUUUUUAGUAUGAGAACAAUGUUCUGUCUUCAGUCUGUGUUCCAUUUUCUUAGGAAUAAGUGAAUGUUUGGUAUGUAUGUGAAUGAGAUUUUAACUUCUUUUUCCAGCCUAUGAAACAUAGCAUACCUUUUCUAAAUGUAAUGAACCGAAUUUAAGUGAAGGAAAAGCAUUAACUUUACGAAAGAAAAAUGUCAUAGAAUAGAUCUCUACAUUUAGCUGUUAAACAAGCCUCAAUCCAUGAGGCACUACCUGUUAGAAAGGUGUCUUGGUACAAAAGAAAUAGAGACAACUAGCCAAUAAUGUUGGUGUACUUUUUAACUAUGAAGUCAAGAAUCUAAUUACUGAAGUAGUUCUCAGGAUUGGCUCAUCACCAUUGUGAUGGACUUGGAAGUGGAUCAAGAUGAUCGAAUAUGUCCAUGGGAGGGAAGUCAUCAAUGAAGCUGUCCGGUGUUACAAUGUUUUGAUUUUCUCCUUGACUUGGAGUAUGAGAGCCUCCAUCUGGUCCAAAACAGGAUGGCAAGAUAGGAAGUUGUCCAGUGCCCAGUUCAGAACCACUACAUUGUCCAAAAACAUCAUAAAAAUUAGGAUCUCCGAGCCUAGUGAUGAAGUCUUGGUUUUCUACUGGUAAAGAAUAAUCUGGCUGGAGUUGUAGAAUCUGAGGAAAUGGGAGUUGUAACUGCUGUUCUUCAUAUGAUUGCUUGUCAACGGCCGGAUUGAACUCAAUUUGAUGUGGGCUAUGUUCAAAAUUCAGCGAACCGGGAUACAUUAACCCUUGUAAAGGCACCAUUUUGAUUGUCUCAGAAUCAUCAAUAUAUGGUGAUGAGCAAGAUCGUGACUUGAUUAUUGAUUCUUCCUCUCUCAACAUGCUGAAUAUUGGUGCCUGAGAUUGAAAACAAUUAGAUAAUUUAGAUAACCCAAUAACUUUAUAUGACUCGUGUAAGGGUCUAAGCAGCCAGAGGAGAACCGGGAAUUAUACUACGUUAAUCCUCAUCACGACUACUUGUUCGACGCUUGUUUCAUGGGUCUUAGGUGGGAACUUGAAGAAUUUUUAUCCUAUUAAGCGCAUUUAGCAUAUUUUAUCAUAAUAGCAAAAGUGAGUAGAACUGACUCCAUUGUGUUUGCUGCCACAGAUCUCAAUGGUUAUACCACUUGCUUAACGCUAUACUUUGAUUCUGCCUCGUUUGAUAGAAAAUAGGCUCUAAUAUUCUCCAUAAACAUGAUAUUGUCGUAAAAACCAGUGGUUGAUUAGCCAAAGAACUUUUCUCAAUCCACCCAUUAUAAUCAGAUGCAUGCUCUUUGCUGAGGAAUGAAAUCAGGGACAAUGCUGAAGCGACCUUGGGUUAUUUGCCAAUUCGAACACAUUAACAUCAUAAUCUGCAACGUGUACAAAAUUCAAAAAAGACUUGGAUAGUGGAUAAACUUAUUGCCUUAUAAACUUUACCAGAGGAUUAUUAGUAGAAUCCACAGUAUUAGGCUCUUAGAGUUGGAAAACAUGUUACGGAACAAAAAGUAAAAAUGGAGAAAUAGGGUUUCCUGAAAGACCUGGUUCGAAAUGACUACAAACAUAGUCAACUAAAAACUGCUGAGAAUGAAUAACCUCACCUCCACAGAGGGAAGAUCAUGAAGAGAAGAACCUUGUUCACAUAGAAACAGAACCCGAAAAGAACAUUCUUUUACUAGAGUUUGUGGUGUGAAAAGGGAAAAAUAGGAUGUCCUACAGACCUGUCUUGAAAAGCCAGGAAUGGAAUCAACCAAAGAUUGGUGAGAAUGAAUGAAAUUUUGCUUACCUCCAAAGAGGGAACACCGUCAAGAAGAGGAGGGACUUGGAUUUCCUUGUUCUUCCUAGGCUUGCUGCCGCAUGGUGGUGCAGAUGUCUGCAGAAUCCUUGCCAGCCUCUUCUGUCUGCUACUCCAAAAAUUCUUAACAUCAUUGUCUGUUCUUCCUGGCAAAUAUGUGGCUAUUUUAGCCCAUUUGUUACCAAAUUGUGCUUGAAGAUCUAUCACUGUUCUCUCCUCCUCUGCCGAAAACUUCACCCCACUACACAAAUUAAACGAGAAGGAAACAUGAAAAAGUAAGGCCAGUGUUUUGUGCAUGUUUAUAAUAACAAGUCAGAGAGAAGAAGAACCAUAUCAAUAUAACUUUUUCUGUGGAAUAUCUGAAAAGCCAUUCUUAAUUGAUUAACAGUGAUAAAUCAGAUACAAAGAAGGGUUAAUUUCAACGCUCUCGCACACACAUCUAUAACUGGUUAUGAGGUUGAUGAAAAUGGAGUGGCAUUAUUUGCAUCUGGUUAUGAGGUUGAUGAAAAUGGAGUGGCAUUAUUUGCAUACUUCUUCAAGUUGGGUCGGAGUUUGUUAACCCAACGGAGACGGCACGACUUGCCAGUACGUUGCAAGAGACCUUUGGAUCGAAUGGAGCUCCAGUCUCUAGGGCCAUAUUUGUUGACAUGGUUUAUCAAAACCUCAUCUUCUUCUGCCUUCCAUGGCCCUUUCUUUAUCGUACCCAUAUCAUCACAUAACAUUCUCUUCCUCCCAUCCAUUCUCUAUCAACAUCAAUUCGCUCUUCACCACACACGUAUACACAUAUAUAUAAAAUAUGCAUGCAAAAAUCUUGUUUUUUUGAGAAUUUUUCGGUAGAUUUUUUGUCGCUGGAGUUCUGUCUUUCAUUUGUCAAUUUUAAAUGUUAUUGGCGUGGGGGGUGGUGUAGUGACGGUUAGGAGCGGUUAUUGGCAUUAUCUGUCCACUUUUUAAUCCACGUUCUAUUAUUCUUUUGAAUUCAAAUUCAGUCCCCGGAAUUUCAAAAUUAUGCUGGCAGCCCUGAAAAUGAAAGAAAAUAUUUAAAAGACUGAAUUGUAUUUAAUAUUUUAAAAAAUAUUCAAUUUUGUAUUUAAAGUAAAUAAUUUUAAUAUUUAACUGUUUUUUUUUUUUACAGUACUAAUUUAUUGGUUAUAUUUUAUUGGUUUAAUGACUAUUUUGAUAUUUGUAGGAUUGGAUUAUAUAUAUUAUUUGCUAAAUUGUUAGAAUAAUUAUUAAGUCUCUGAAUAAAAUAGGUUUCAUUUAUUUGGCAAUUUAAUAAGUGCUUUUAAGAUUAUAUUGUAUUCAGUUAUAGAAAUAGAAUAAGUGUACUAAGUUAAUUUUGUUCUAAAUUAUUCAUGUUCGACAAACAUUAAAAAAAAAAAGUUUUUUCUUUAUCAAACUCAUUUUUAACCACACAUUCUCAUAAUAAAAUAGUUUAUACUUAAGCUCAAAACUUUCUUCAAAAAAAACUAUUUCAAAACUUAUUUUCUUUAAAGUUUUUUUUUUUAAAAAUAGUUUUGAAUGUUGUUAAAUUAGCAAGGUUAUUUGAACGAUUUUAUCAUUCAAACUGGAGAAGACAAUCACUCAUUUACUAUGAAAAUAAGCAAUAUUUCCUUUAUAAAUAGAGAAUACUUAACCCUUGUUUGGUAUUGAUUAAAAUCUUAAUUUUAAUUUAAUUCAAAGUCAACAAUUAAUUUUAAUCACUCAUUUUAUGGGAUCCAUAAUUUUUCAACCACACAUUUCAUCAAAAUCUACUAAAAAUCUAAUUUUAAUCUCCACCAAACAGGGGUUUAUAAGUACAUUCAAGCAUGAACAUUUUUUUCCUUAAAAAAAAAAAGAAAAAAAAAUUUACUUAUAAUUAAAUUUAACUUACGUAUAAACUGAGUCAAACAUACUUUGAGACACAAAAUGUUUGGACCGUAGCCCCAUAGAAAAUUAAAUUUUUUUAGUUAAAAAAAUACAUAUAAAUCACAUUUUGACAAAAAUUACUUAUAAAAUAUGUUAAAUGUAUUAUUUAUCAAGAUGCUUAUUUUAUUUACUUUUUAUGUAAAUUCACCUACAGGUAAACUAAUUUUCUCAUUUGUGAGAGUUGAAAAUAAAUAAAAUAUUUAUUUUGAGGUAAGGCAAAGAUUAUUUUCAAAAAAAAUGUAACCUUUCCGAUUCCCUGAAAAUAAAAAAUAAUAUUAUAUUGGACAAUUUUUCCACUCAAUCACAUAAUGUACACCAUCUUUCCCACUUGCCCACAUGACAAUACACAAUUGAACAAUUUCACGCAAUCAAUUGUAUGUACAAAAAAGAGUACAAAUGACAUUAUCCAACGAAUUAAACAAUUACACUUGUAUGUAGAAUGGUUUCGACUCUUGCAGCCUAAAGGGGCUAGUGAUCGAUAUAUUAUUGAUCUCUUCAGUUAGGGAUUCGGAUUUGGGAGAAGCGUGCGAAGCGAGAACUGGAAAAAUUGUGAGAUGAAUAAGUUGAAAAUUCGGUGAAACUUAUAAUCAGUUGUAUAUACACUAGCCCAAACCUAUAUCUAGAAGGAAAAGGAAAUAUAUUGUCCUAUUAUUACAUUAAUUUCUAACGAGACUAGAAUAUAAGAUAUAUGCAUUAAUUCCUUAACUAUUGUUCUAUUUUAAAUGGUUUGCUUGUUGUCCACUUGAUCAACCCUACUGGGGUAAAAUUACAAGCUUGCAGCUCGGAAAUUCCAGCUCUCAUUUGCCUUCCAAUCAGCCAUUAAGGCAAAAUUCGAGUCCAUGAAUGGUGUCAACUCCUCAAGUGGCUCGAGUCCAUAAAUUAUGUUACUUCUGAAGAACUGGAUUGAUACUAGCACAAGCACAAAAGUAGCGUGGUGAAAAAGGUCGAUCAUUUUCUUAUAAAGCCCAUGUUCGGUUCUCGUUUUCUAAAACUCAUUUUAAUCACGCAUUUCAAGGAAUUUACAACUUUUUAUCAGCUUUUCAACUUCAUAUUUCAUCAACUUUUAUCAAAAUCUACUUUUUAGCUAAACCAAGAAAAAAAUGAGACUGUAAAUCCGGAGAAUAUCAGGAGUGAUACGAGCAAAGGCUAUAAUUUCAAGUCUAUUAAUGAACAACAAAUACAAUCGAUGAGGAUGCACUGCCAUGAAAGGCAGCAGUUGGUUUUUGUUGCAACACAAUGAACCAAAAAAAAAUUAAUAAUAAUAGCCUUUUUUCUGGCCGACUUGUCCUAUGAUCUCUUCUUAGUCUGUAUCCUCAACCCAGGGGGUGUCGUCUCCUGCACAUAUACAAGUUAAACAAUGAAGCAACAAAACAGAUGGAUAAAAAUUGACCUGGUAAUUGGUUCAUUUAUACUGUAAAAGAAAUGCUCUCGAGAAGAUUAUGGCUGUCUGCACUAAUUGAUCCCCCAUAAAUUUUGAUCACUAUGUCAAAGAACAUUAGGAUUAGCCCCUAUUUGGGCUCCAUUAAAAUGAGAUCUUGGGAGAAAAUGUGUUUUCGAAUAGUCAUUUUUUAAUGAUUGUGUGGUUAAAAAAAAAAGGAAAAGUUUUGGGUUUGUGUGUAAUAUUAUUUUGUGGGAGAACGUGCUGGUUGAAAUGAAUUUUGAAAAAAUGGAGCUCAAAGGGGCCAAGUGUGGCUCUCUCUCAGGGGAUGACAUGUUUGCGUCGCUAAGAUUUUAAAGGUGAGGAAAUAUGUGGGGAUUGAUAUAUCCACCUGUGAACAGCACUACACCCCACUUAUUCCAAGAGGCAAAAAAGGUCAAAAGAAACAAAAUGUCGUACCAAGAAUUUUGAAGCAGAAUCCUGAAGAAGUGAAAGUCUAAUCUGUUACCUUUUCGGCCGGCUUCGAUCUUCCUCGUAGUCCAUCACUACACCAUGUUCGGAAAAGAUCUCUUCAUGCCCUCGGAACUCGGCGUCGGCCUGCUUACAGUUUGUAACUUCUGCCAUAAUGUAAGUAAGACACAUCGACUAACAAUCCUGAGCAUGAUUAUAAACUAAUUCUUCAUUUUAAAAUAUUAACUGUGAAAGAUAACAAAGAAGAAAAUUGUGAUAUGGGGAUUGGUCAUCCAUUUAAUCCUCUUUCAUUUGAUUCAGAAGGCAUCAGUAAACCAGACUUACAAAAACUAUAAUACAGCAAACGUGCAAAGAACUUGCAUAAAAUAGGUCAAUCAAUAUGCUUACCUAUGAGAGAGAAUUCGGCUUAAUUAAAAAAAUUAAUUUAAAUAAACAAAUCAAAAUAGACCUGAACAUGAAACAAAAGCGCACACACAUCACAUAAGACACAGAGGGAGACUCCGCCAUGCUCCCACAUACAAUAUAACAGGUUUGAUCAUGCACACAUUUGGAUGAGGAAAUGGUUGUCGAGUUUUAAGUAACCUUUGACUAAAUUACUUUCAUUACAUCACCGCAUAGCAACUGAAAGUCAGGAGUUACACCAUGACAAUAAAACAGCAGUGUUAAAAAGAUAAGCAUGCAUAAGCUGACCUUGAAGGAUAGUGUCUUCUUCACUUCUUCCACCCUUUCUUCUACUCCCUUUCGGUGCUUCUUGUCCAUUUCACUCAUAUUAUCUGCCCAUCUGAUCUUCUCUUGAAUUGAGACAAGAAGAUUGUCUGACGUUGACAGCCUAAGAUAUGGUCAACCCAAGAAUUUAGUAAAAGAUUUAGAUACACGCGACAAACAAAAAUAAAAUAGAAAUAAAAAACAUAAAAAAAAUAAAAAAGAAGCACAACACACAUUAUACAGUGCUCUUAAAAAUCUCCAAUCUAAGGACUGUUGACCACCAGAUUAAUGCAUUUAAAUGCGUGUGAUAUUUUUAAGAGACAGGUCUCAAAUAUUUGGAAAUGUCACAAAGCAAAAAUACCCCGCAACUGUUUACUUGAGUCAUCUCUCAGACUUUAAAGAAGCUACUAAAUCUAAAAUAAAUAGUUCCACUGGUGUAGACAAAAGACUGGUCAAAAAAAUCACAAUGCUACAAACACACGCACACGCACUGUAGUAUCUCCUACAUACUAAAUAUGCUGGAACACAAAUAAGUUAAGUCAUUCCUGUAUACAAAGAUGAUACACAGGAAAAAAAUUAAGUCCUGCAUGCUAAAAUGACAUGGUAAGUCCUGCAUGCUAAAGCAGCCAAACAAGAAAUGGACAUGAGUUAUUUGAAAUGAUAAAGCACUACUACAAUAAUUAAGAAAUGAAUGAAACAUUUAACUCCCAAAACAGAGACAUUACCAGUCAGAUAUUGUCUGUAUCAUACUGCCCAAUUGUCCUGGCCUUAGAUCCCUCCCUGCAGCAAAUUGUACCUACAAGUUCACCAGAAUUAGAGUAGUUACCAAUUACCAGUUCCAACAGUCGGGUCUCCACAAGGUUAAAACAAGUGAUAAAAUUAAAGAAAGACCUCAAAACAUCUCCGCAACUGAUCCAGCUUCCCUCUGACUAUCCCCUGUGUGCAAAAGCAGCAACAGAAUCAACAUAUUUAUCAUUGCAGUUUCAUCUAAAAAGUCAAUGCCAAUCUUAUAGCAUAAGACAAUGCACAAAACAAAAGAAACCCCCCCCCCAGGGGGUCCCCCGCCGGGGGGGGGGGGGGGGGGGGGGGGGGGGGGGGGGGGGGGGGGGGGGAGGUAUUAAAUGACAGAAGUUAGUGAUGCUGCGCAAAAUAAUAAUAGGUCAAGGCAAUGAAAAGAAAACUUACCACAUACAUGCAGUCAUUAAUCAGAAAAUCUUCUAACUCACGAACAUUUUUAACAUCCAACUCCUGUAUCAAUACAUCAUAGGGCAAUACCUGGGCAAUGGCCAAAGAAAUGCUUAAGAGAACCAAACAAUUUUUGAAAUAGGAAAAUGGUUGUGAUGCCAAGUGAUAUAAUUACGAAAUUUGAAUGAUGAGGCAAAGAAUGAUCCAUAGAAAACAUAAUUACAAGGAUGACAUAUUUCACUACCAAUUCAUAUGUUCAACUGAACCUUUGUGUGCAGAAAUGUAACUAACCAGAAGCUUUCAAAUUUACCAAACAAGCACAAGCACAGAACACAUUUUUUUGCAAAAUUAAAAGGGAAAAUUUUAAUCAACUAAGUGAUAAGCCAAAAUAUUUACACAAAUUUCAUUGAAAUUUUAAAAAAGAAAUACAGAACAUGUCAAGGUAUGAUACCUUAUUUGUCUCAGCCAGGGUAAGCACAGUAAGCUGCUUCAACUUGAGGACUUGAUCAGGAACCAAUGGUGGAAGACGACUAGCAACGCCUGCAUCACAGCAUACAUUUUAGAGAAAGCCACAGAGAGAAUCUGACCUCUAUUAAACAAAAAAAAAAAAUUAUGAAUAUAUUGUAGAAGCACAUUAGCAUAUGCAUGAACAUCAAACAUAUGGAUACUUGUGAAAGAAACAUUUAGAAUAUGUUUAUGCAGGUUCAUUCUGAGACCUUUCCACCUUCAAAGAAUGGAACAAGCUUAAUAAGAGUUCUUAAACAUGAGAAAGGAAAUCUAUGAAAUCAUGGACUAGCUAGAACAAAAUCUUGAGAGAUAUAUUAACAACGACAACAUACUCCAAAAAAGAUCAGCCGGAUGAGCGGGUGUCUUGCUUGAUGUUAACACCAGGAAUCAAUAUAACAUUUCUCACACCACACAAGGCAGUAGGAUAAGUCUAUAAUUGCUAUCUACUUCAUAACUAGCCCAAUAAUUUCCGGUUCUUUUUGCAUUUUUCAUAAGAGUUUAAUUGGUCAUAAUAAUGCUGGAAACUUUGAAUCUCUUCAUAAAUUUCACAGAUUUGGAUAUAAAUCAAAAUGCAAAAAUAGAAGAGCAGGACAAACUCCAUAAUUUCAUUUAUAUACAGCAAAAAAGAUCAGACAGUCCUCAUUCAUGCUAUACAUGGAUGAUUUUCACUUUCCAGUCAGUGAAUCAGCUUAGAAUAUUCCUUCACUAAACUUUAAUUUCCAGAAGACAAGAUUCACUGGAAUCUAAAAUGUAUAGCAUCUUGUUUAAAACUAGAAGCCCAUAACAAAAUAAUUUAGAAGUUCCAACAAAAAGACAAACAGCUACUAACAUAUGUUGAAUUAUUUCUAAAAGUGUGUAUUAUAUUGGAAAUUUUACCUUGCUUGUGAAGUUAUUAAGCAACUUAUCUAAUGAAUAAUAAAAUAAUUCAAGCAAACUUAUUAUACAAGAAGUAAAAUACAUUUCUAUGCAAGUCAUCCAUAGAGAAAGAAGCUAGGUGAAGAGAUCUGAAGAUGCGUGGAAACAAUAAGUAGUGUAAAGAUAGAAAUAAGCCAAGAGUCUUGGAUAUAGAGCAAUUUUGGCAAAUAAACCCACAGCUAAGUUAUGAGCCCCACACAAAUGAGUGGUUACUUAAAUUGUAUCGGGAAUGGGUCCUGCACAAAGUAAAAAAUAAGGUAAACCCUACUUACGUGCCUUAUUUAAACCAACAAAAUUUUGUAGGUCCAUUGCCAAACAUGCUCAUAGCAUGAAGAGAUCAAAGUUGUCGCUCAAACUUUCUAUAACAGCAGAAUAACAUUAGAAACUAUUUUUGGCAGUGGUACUCAAUUCAAAGACCAACUAAUAUAUAUAAUAACAACAUUAAAAUAAAGGAACGUAAGGUUUCGCAAACUAUAUCAGCUUGGUCUCUUCUUAGUCUGUUGAAUGUAUAAAGCUUAUGAUUGGCUUUAAAACCAUUCUGAAGGAUGUUCUGGAUUAGCUUUUCAAAAUUUUUGGGAGCAAGGACCAUGUAAAUUAAGUGCAUGUGGUUCAAUAACUCCAAGUUAUUGUACUAUAAAUUUUCAUUGACACUCAUUAUGAAUUACGGAUGCCGAUGUGGUUAGGUUUCCCCAAGCUUAAAAGUUGUUAUGUAAGUACAUAAAUUAUAUUUUGGGUUUUGCGUUAGGAUAUUAAUCCAUUCACCAUGGAGAUAAAAUUCUACUCGUUCGUGUUAAGAUAAGAAAUCCAUACACGUGUGAUCCUAAAUAUAAAUAUAGGCAAAUUCACCCAAAUAAAUCUCUGAUGCGGGUCCACGUGCAUGUCUCCAUCAAUAGGCAUCAAGAGGCAUAUAAAUAAUACAUAAAGCAAUAUUGUGGUAAUGGCUUCAUUGCACGCCUUUCAGGUGCGCAAAAUAUAAACAUAAGUAAUGCUAUCAUAACAAUAUUCCACUACUAGUGAAAAUGUGGCAUCUUCACAAAAAGAAUGCCCAGAAUACAAAUACCAACUUGGGAUAGUAUAAUUCCUUUAUAUUUGGGGUCAAGAUCAUAGAUCCUGACAUGAAUAAUGCCCAGCACAGUGCAACUCUUGCCACUUUCAAGUGAAUAGAGUUGUCGCUCAUAAAAAAUAAAAAGUGAUUCAGCUCCAUUCCAGACUAGACAAUAUGACACUAGUAACUCUUGUAAUAUCAUAGUAAAAUGAAUGAAUUGGGCCAACUUCAAGCAACCUUGUGGAUACACAACCAUGAUAAAUGAUAAUACAAAAAUUAAAAUGCUUACUCUUAUACUCACUCCAUGUGCCAUGGGCAAACAUUCGAAGCAAAUCAAGAAAGGCUGCAUUCUCAGUUCCUUCGAGCUGCACAUGAAUCCAAUAGUUAAAGACGGAAAUAUAAAGAACAGAAAAAUAUGUCCCAUAUAAGCAUUAGAUGCAGAAAGAUUACCAAGCUGUAUCAAGAAAGGAAACUAAAUAUUUACUUGAGUAGCCUAUUAAAUAUUAAUGCAUAAUAUCGGUAAUAGUUGAACUCAAAACAUUGUAAACGUAAAAAUUCUUUCCCACAUAUCUGUCAAGUUAUCAUGUUCUCUUUCUUCACUCUAUUUAAUUGUCCUUGGACAUUCCCGAUACUACCUUUGGUGAGAGAGCUUUAGGCAGGUCUGUUUUGCCUUUUCUUUUGCCCUUCUGUCCUCCCCCUUGAUUCAUAUAUUUUCUGAUUUCUAAAAAGGUUAUGCCGGGUAACGAAGUGCUCUGUCUCAAUUGAGCAAGGAGUCACCUCAAGGCACUUUGAGGCAUAAACCAUGACUUAAACCAAUAAAAUAAUUUAAAAAAUUAUAUAACAGAAUUUUGGUCAUGGUAAACCAUAAAGAAAAUCCAUAAUAAAACCUCCCAAUUUUGUAAAGUUUAAUUUACAAUUCGAAACAUAAAAUAGAUAGACUGAGUAGCAAAUAAUAAAUUAACAAGCAAUACAAACAGAUAACAAUAUCACUCGCACUAGCCCACAACUAGAACUAAAAGUCAAAAACAAAUGAAAUAAGAGGCUAUUUGAGAAUUUUGCUAGCAUCAACUUUAAAGAAAGAUAACAGCUGGAAACAGAAUAAAGCAAAGGGGCAAGGCAAGAAAAGCCAUCCAAAAAGCUAAGCUAGAUAAAAAACAACCUUGCUCUGUCUCAAUUGAGCAAGGAGUCACCUCAAGGCACUUUGAAGCAUAAACCAUG
This 20442-nucleotide long non-coding RNA is filed under the name Olea europaea (common olive). RNAcentral's name for it is "long non-coding RNA (OEUR_LNC001278)". The record is from RNAcentral. Lineage: Eukaryota; Viridiplantae; Streptophyta; Magnoliopsida; Lamiales; Oleaceae.